Non-coding RNA from Oryctolagus cuniculus (rabbit), 551 nucleotides. The record is from RefSeq and is a predicted model, not a curated record. NCBI's taxonomy places the organism in Eukaryota, Metazoa, Chordata, Mammalia, Lagomorpha, Leporidae.
GAAGAUGGUCCAAGGAUCUGCGGUCCUGCCAUCCAUGUUGUUGACCCAGAGGGAAUUCCUGGCUUUUAUUUGUAUCAUGUCCCUGACCUGGCUGUUAAGGCCAUUACUGCCUCUCUCUGAGGCUCUGCCACCGGCUGGAUGACUGAACAUCUCCUGGAUGCCCAACCCCUUUCAUGUUGAAACUGCAAGGCAGCAAUCAGGGGAUGAAGGAAGGCACAAGAAAUACAUUUUAAGUGGCCCAACAUACUUACCUGUUGGCAGUUCUGGUUGAUGAUUUCAUAGGAAAUUGAACUGAAACUAUUGAGGAUUAUAAAUUUGUUAUGCAGAAUAAUAUGCAAACACAACAAUUUAUGGCUGGUCAGUAGAAGUUAUGCAGAUAUGUUCAAGUAAAGAAAAUGAAAGAUUGACAUCUCUCAUCUCUUCUCUUGGGAUUUGUAGCAACAAACAUCCUAAACCAAAAUCAAUCAAAAGAACAAACAAGUACAACAGCAGAAGUAAUUUCUUGAUUACUCACCCGAGAGAGAAAUCUGACUUUAACGUCGUCAUAUAAG